UAAUGUUUGUAAGCCUGGCUUGCACAGAUAAAUGUCAAAAUAUUAAAAAAUUCGAUAUAUGUAUGAACUUUGAAUAUUCUUUCUUUCUUUUACAAUGAAUAGGUUUGAAUAUGCCAAUCCUCGGCUUUUACCUAAUGAAUUGAACGUCAGACGCGAUUUUGGUGUACGUUUGUAUGAUGGAGACGUUAAGACACAAUUUGAAGGUGGACAAUUGUAUAUUACGACUCACCGAGCACUUUGGGGAAGACCAGACGAUAUACCACGAGGUAACACUUGCCUCUCGUUACCUUUAAGAUAUGUAGUUUUCCACGAAGAGGAAUCUCCAGGUCCAUUUUCUUUUAGACGUAACAAUAAAGUUAUUUUACAUCUCUCUGAACCGUCUCCUGAUAAAAUGCCUGGACCAGCAGAGAACAGUGCCUUUAAUUAUAUUAAAUUAUCAUUCAAAGAAGGUCUGGAUUCAAAUUUUAUAAUAGAAUUAAGAGAUGUACUUAGAAAAAGAACCUGGGAAUCGGAUCCUCCUAUUCCUUAUCAAUUAACCGAUAUGAAUAUUCAAAGUUUGCGCGUUACACCUAAACCACUACCAGUGAUAAAACCACGAACGGGUAUCAUAGGUAUUGAAAGAAGUCUGCAAGAACAACAAAAGGCAACGGAUGAGAGUAUUUCUAAGGCAUUCCAAGAUCUUAAGAAGCUUAUGGAAAUGGCUAAAGAUAUGGUGACCAUAUCUAAAACCAUCUCUGCAAAAAUAAGGGAGAGACAAGGAGACAUCACGGAGGAUGAGACUGUUAGAUUUAAGUCUUAUUUGAUGAGUCUAGGUAUCGAUGAUCCUGUAACGAGAGAUGCUUACAAAAGUAGUAAUGAAUAUUUUAAACAAUUAGCUAUGCAACUUGCACUUAUUCUAGAAGAACCAAUCAAGGAAGUAGGUGGAAUGAUGACACUGACCGAUGUUUAUUGUCGUGUUAAUCGAGCUAGAGGAUUGGAACUUUUGUCUCCGGAAGAUUUAUUAAACGCUAGCAGACAAUUAGUAUCUCUGAGCUUACCUAUAGUGCUAAGGGUUUUUGACAGUGGCGUUAUGGUUCUUCAAAUUCGAUCUCACGAUGAUCUUGCAGUUGCAGAUUCUAUAGCCGAUUUAUUACAGGAAAGAGGUUCGAUAACUGCGGAGGAACUUGCACGAUCUGAAGGAAUAUCUGUAUUAUUAGCACGAGAAAGAUUAUUAGUUACUGAGAAACAUGGAAGAGCUUGCAGAGACGAUACGAUAGAAGCAUUAAGAUUUUAUCCAAAUUUAUUUUUAGAAGAAAACGCGUAACGCUUAACCAAUUUUGUAUUAUCACUGGCAUCAUGGAAUUAUAAGGAAACGCAACCGCCUCUAUUAUUAUUAAUACUAUUAUUAUUAUUAUUAUUAUUAUUAUCUUAUUAAGUAUUUGUAUAUUUCUCGUGCCUUUAUAAGUCGUGCACAGUUAAGUCCAAUGCAAAGAUAAAAAGAAAAGGAAAACAAUUUCUAUCGUCCUCGCAGCGUGUACAACGUAGCUUGUUGCAAAACGAAGAAAUACUACAACAUUUUCGGCUUCUGACUCAUUGGUAUCCCAUUUAAACUAUGAUAGAGAGGGAGAGAGAGAGAAAGAGAGAGAAACAGGAACUAACUACAUGGCACGUAUUAACGAGCGUCAUGUAAACACAUAUACAUGUACAAUAAUGUAACCUUGAUGAGAUCGGCAAAAUGUCAAGGCUAAAAUGAAAUCUCUCUUUUCUUACUGAAAUGUAUAAUUUAUACAGACGAUAAAAAACAAGUGAAUAUAAUUACAUUGUUUAAUAACUAAGAGUGCAAGUAUUAUUAAUCUUCCAACAUAGUCACACAUGGACAUGUGAUCAUUAAGGAUUAUUCUUUCUCUUUCUUUACUGGUGCCAAUAAUUAAAAAAAUAAGAUUUUUCUUAACCAGUUAAUUAGCAUGUCGACUAAUGUCAUUCUAUAAAUAUCAUACUCUCCUACAGGUUUUCAUAUAAAAAUA
RNA transcript from Vespula vulgaris, 2003 nucleotides. It is a transcript of the gene named vacuolar protein-sorting-associated protein 36, with no coding region annotated. The record is from RefSeq and is a predicted model, not a curated record. Lineage: Eukaryota; Metazoa; Arthropoda; Insecta; Hymenoptera; Vespidae. The transcript is spliced from 7 exons.